Non-coding RNA from Chiloscyllium plagiosum (whitespotted bambooshark), 543 nucleotides. The record is from RefSeq and is a predicted model, not a curated record. NCBI's taxonomy places the organism in Eukaryota, Metazoa, Chordata, Chondrichthyes, Orectolobiformes, Hemiscylliidae.
CUCCAACACUACUCCUUACAGAGUCAUGGCUUCAGGAUGACAAGGAUUGGAUCCUGAAUAUCGAGAGGGUACAUGGAAUUCAAGUUGAAUGGGAAGCGAGUUAAAGAGUAAGAUAUUGUCUGUUCUCAGCUCUGCUGGAUUUCUGCUGAAACUUUGACCCCACCUUUUAUACCUUCCAGAACAAUAAAACAUUCAGUCACUCAAGGCCUGACCCACAACCUCCCAGCCUGUCAACUGAACAGUGUUAUAAUCGCAGAGAAUAAAACAAGAAAAAUGGAACAAAAUUAGGAAUUAAAUAGGUUCUUGUUUAAUGUUUGUUUGUUAGGACGUAAACCAGAAAUUAGGUCUCCCAGGAUUUUUAUUGUGCCUUAAUUGAGGAAUUCUCUUUCCCUUACAUCUAACUAUUAGUACCCAGCUAUGAUUUAUAACAAUAUUUGCAUCAACGGAAAUAAAGCAUCUGUUAUCAAAUAGACAUAGAAAUAUACAGCACAGAAAUAGACUUUUUGAUCCAACACAUCCAUGCUGAUAAGGUAUCCUAUGUAA